RNAcentral lists this ribosomal RNA (468 nucleotides) under uncultured bacterium. RNAcentral's name for it is "partial 16S ribosomal RNA". It matches the Rfam family "Bacterial small subunit ribosomal RNA", at positions 28 to 507 of the family's 1533-position model. The record is from RNAcentral.
GACGAACGCUGGCGGCGGGCUUAACACAUGCAAGUCGAACGGAAAGGCCCUGCUUUUUUGGGGUGCUGGAGUGGCGAACGGGUGAGGAACAGGUGAGUAACGUACCCUUCACUUUGGUAUAACUUCAGGAAACUAGAGCUAAGCUCAUAUAGGAUCUGCUGCUGCAGGGUGAGGGUGGGAAAGUUGAAGCGGUUGGGGUUGGAUGCGCGGCUGAUCGGCUAGUUGGUGGGGGAGUGGCUGACCACGGAUUGCGAGGGUAGCCGGCCUGAGAGGGUGACCGGCCACCUUGCGACUGAGAGACGGACCAGACUCGUACGGGAGACAGCAGUGGGGAAUAUUGUCCAAUGGGCGGAAGCCUGAUGCAGCAACGCUGCGUGCGGGAUGACGGCCUUCGGGGAGAAAAAAGCUUUCGCCUGUGACGAAGCUGGAGUGACGGUAACCGGAAAAGAAGCACCGGCUAACUACGUG